AUACUCUCUCUUCACAUAUUCUUUUUUUUGUAAUGAAAUAUUGGCUUCUCCAUUUCCUUCCCUCAUACUCUCUCUUCACAUAUUCUUUUUUUUGUAAUGAAAUAUUGGCUUCUCCAUUUCCUUCCCUCAUACUCUCUCUUCACAUAUUCUUUUUUUUUGUAAUGAAAUAUUGGCUUCUCCAUUUCCUUCCCUCAUACUCUCUCUUCACAUAUUCUUUUUUUUUUUAAUGAAAUAUUGGCUUCACCAUUUCCUUCCCUCAUACUCUCUCUUCACAUAUUCUUUUUUUUUUUGUAAUGAAAUAUUGGCUUCUCCAUUUCCUUCCCUCAUACUCUCUCUUCACAUAUUCUUUUUUUUUUUAAUGAAAUAUUGGCUUCACCAUUUCCUUCCCUCAUACUCUCUCUUCACAUAUUCUUUUUUUUUUAUGAAAUAUUGGCUUCACCAUUUCCUUCCCUCAUACUCUCUCUUCACAUAUUCUUUUUUUUUUAAUGAAAUAUUGGCUUCUCCAUUUCCUUCCCUCAUACUCUCUCUUCACAUAUUCAUUCUCACAGGUCCACACCAUCUCAGUGCCCCAUGCUUCACCCACUCCACAAUCCACUUUUUCACUGUCACACCGAUACCAAACUGCUUAUGCAUGCUUUCACUACUUUCUCCAUCUCAUCCGGACACACAUGUUUUGAUGGGGCUACCCUAUGUUAUAUUAUAAUAGUGAUGCAACUUAAGGUAAUGAAUGUUUAUAUUUGCAGGAUUUUGGAAAUAACAGAAAGGGACACAGUAAAGCUGGUUCACGUCAAGAUUGGACACGAUGAUGUUCCCCUGGCACGGAUGGUGGCUUACGAUCAGCUUAAGCCUGUAAAGUUCGGUGCUCUUCACAGGCCCUCAGAAGAGCUGCCAGCAGGCAGUUCUACUGAUACAGACCCUGAACUACACCUCAAUGAGGAAUUAUACCAAAAAAGACAAGGCCUUUCCAUCCCUGUGUCAGUUACUGCCCCUCCUAAGCCAGGGGACACAAGGCAUCCAGACAGGGAGGAAGACGUCAUUCUGAUCGGAACCAGGGCCAAGGCUGAAAGAGAAGCCGUGUGUCUGCCCCCUGUGCCAGCCAGUCGCCAAGAUCCACAAAUGGAGGUAAUGAUUCAGAUUCUUGAAGAGAGAAGGUGGCUCACUGAUGACCACAUGAAUCAUUGCCAGGCCCUCCUCAAACAUCAGUUUCCGAGGUUGAUGGCCUCCAAAGCUGUGCAAUAUUUGAGGUGGUGGAGCAUAUUCGUGUUGGUACCCCUAGGGGGAAGUUUGUUCAAAUUAUCAAUGUCAGUAGUAAUCACUGGAUUACAGUAAGUAACAUUCAAAAUUUUCAAGAAGGUAAAGUAAGAAUCUAUGACUCCAUGUUCACUAAAGUCGGUAUGUCCCACCGCCAAAAAUUCAUUGAACAGCUUGGGUGGAUGCUACACACCUCUAGCGAUGCCAUAACAAUGGAAUGGCGUGAUGUUCAGCGUCAGAGGGGCGGCGAUGCUUGCGGCUUGUAUGCCAUCGCCAAUGCUUAUGCACUCUGUGCAAAUAUCAGACCUGAGGAGUGUGCAUGGGAUCAAGAUAGUUUGUACGACUGGCUGGUUGGAUGCCUUCAAGCCGGAGAACUGUCUCAACCCCCUGUAACAGUACCCCAAAGGAACAAUAAGGGUACUGUUCGCACUGAGGUGGAAACAGUCUUAUGUAAAUGCCGUUUGCCAAACAAUGAGACCCGUCCCAUGAUUGCCUGUGAUAACUGCAACGCGUGGUAUCACUUCAGCUGCGAGGGAGUGUCAGAAGCUAACAGCCAGACAUUCCACUGCAGCAACUGCAGGUACUUUUCAAAUAGCAUUUUCAGUAAAAGAAAAUAAUCUACACAACCUCUUCCUUUCCUAGAAACACCUUGGUGUAGAUUUGCUCUAACCUCUCAAUGUUUCUGUGUGUGAUAAUGCCGCACCGUGGAGCAGUAUUCAAGCAUUGAUCUCACAAGUGUGAUAUACUACUACUAGUUGUAUAAGUGUUUUUUUUUAUACAGUUAUGUUGAUUACACUUAAGGAUCCAAAAGUGUUCAGUUGGCUGUGGCACUGAUGUGUUCUGUGUGAGUGUUGAAUUUUAAGUUAAUGGAGAAUUGAACUCUGAGGUAUUUGUGUGUGUGUACAAUUCACAUGAGCAUUUGGGUUGUAAGGCCAUGUUGUGAGUCAGAAACAAUGUUGUUUGUGUCAAGCAGAUUUCAUUAUGUGUUUGUGUAUUGUGUUCAAAAGUUCCACAUGGAAUCAGUGUUAGUGAAAUGGGGCAAUAAUUGGCUGUGUCAGUCCAGUCACCUGUCUCAAAUAAAGGGUUGAUGUUUGUCAGAAGCCAGUCAAAGUAAUGAUGAGGAUGAUAUAUAUUGGAUCAAGGAGUCCCUGGAGGACGGGGCUAAGGAUUUAAGAAUGAAGGCAAGGAUGUUGUCGGGCCCAGUGAAUUUACUUGUCAAGUCCUUCUGUAAUGCCAGGAUUCCCCCUCUCCUCCCCAUACUGUUAAUGGUAAUGUUGAGGGGGGCUGUUGGAAGAAGGGGCUGUGUGGCAUGGUUGGUGUCUGGUAGUGUUCUUGGGUGCACACUAAUUGGAACGGUGUUGUGGGCUGGUUACUACUGUGAUAUUGUUGUCUUUCUGUGAUAUAAUAGUGUUGGUAGCAUAUUUGCAUGCCCUAAAGAAUUUGAAAAAAUGUUUAUGUUGUUACUUAAAUUGUCUGCGAGGAAGGUUGCUAUGUGUU
Eriocheir sinensis (Chinese mitten crab) is the source of this 2748-nucleotide long non-coding RNA. RefSeq lists it as uncharacterized. NCBI's taxonomy places the organism in Eukaryota, Metazoa, Arthropoda, Malacostraca, Decapoda, Varunidae. The transcript is spliced from 2 exons. The record is from RefSeq and is a predicted model, not a curated record.